UACGUAGGGUGCAAGCGUUGUCCGGAAUUAUUGGGCGUAAAGAGCUCGUAGGCGGUUUGUUAAGUUUGGAGUGACAGUUGGUGGCUUAACUGCCAAAGUGCUUCGAAAACUGACAGACUUGAGGGCUUCAGAGGGACACGGAAUUCCGGGUGGAGUGGUGAAAUGCGUAGAGAUCCGGAGGAACACCAAAGGCGAAGGCAGUGUCCUGGGGAGUACCUGACGCUCAGGUGCGAAAGCCAGGGGAGCGAACGGG
RNAcentral lists this ribosomal RNA (253 nucleotides) under uncultured bacterium. RNAcentral's name for it is "partial 16S ribosomal RNA". It matches the Rfam family "Bacterial small subunit ribosomal RNA", at positions 524 to 776 of the family's 1533-position model. The record is from RNAcentral.